UGCCCCAACAAGGAAGGACAAG
This 22-nucleotide microRNA is filed under the name Homo sapiens (human). RNAcentral's name for it is "hsa-miR-5699-5p". The record is from miRBase by way of RNAcentral. Lineage: Eukaryota; Metazoa; Chordata; Mammalia; Primates; Hominidae.